AAGCUUGAUUCCUACGGGAGGCAGCAGUGGGGAAUAUUGGACAAUGGGCGCAAGCCUGAUCCAGCAAUGCCGCGUGUGUGAAGAAGGCCUGCGGGUUGUAAAGCACUUUUAUCGGGGAGGAGAAGCGGAGCACGAACAAUGCUCGGUGGAGACGUUACCUGAUGAAUAAGCACCGGCUAACUCCGUGCCAGCAGCCGCGGUAAUA
Molecule: ribosomal RNA, 205 nt
Filed under: uncultured bacterium
Lineage: Bacteria
Description: partial 16S ribosomal RNA
Rfam family: Bacterial small subunit ribosomal RNA
Source: RNAcentral